GGGUCAGCAGGUUGGUCGUGCCAAUGGUAUGCACUGGCCUUGCUGAUUCCUCCUUCUUGAUGAGCCGUAAUGCCAUUAAUUUGGUGUUGCGGGGAAUCAGGACUGUUACUUUGAAAAAAUUAGAGUGUUUAAAGCAGGCACAUGCUUGAAUACAUUAGCAUGGAAUAAUGAAAUAGGACGUUUGACCCUAUUUUGUUGGUUUCUAGAAUCGACGUA
Molecule: ribosomal RNA, 216 nt
Filed under: uncultured fungus
Lineage: Eukaryota; Fungi
Description: partial small subunit ribosomal RNA
Rfam family: Eukaryotic small subunit ribosomal RNA (bases 40-216)
Source: RNAcentral